RNAcentral lists this ribosomal RNA (376 nucleotides) under uncultured bacterium. RNAcentral's name for it is "bacterial SSU rRNA". It matches the Rfam family "Bacterial small subunit ribosomal RNA", at positions 524 to 898 of the family's 1533-position model. The record is from RNAcentral.
UACGUAGGAGGCGAGCGUUGUCCGGAGUUACUGGGCGUAAAGGGUGCGCAGGCGGCCUACCGCGUGGGGGGUGAAAUCGCCCGGCUCAACCGGGCGGGUGCUUUCCAGACGGGUAGGCUUGAGGGACGGAGAGGGGCGCGGAAUUCCGGGUGGAGCGGUGAAAUGCGUAGAGAUCCGGAAGAACACCGACGGCGAAGGCAGCGCCCUGGACGUCAACUGACGCUCAUGCACGAAAGCGCGGGGAGCGAACAGGAUUAGAUACCCUGGUAGUCCGCGCCGUAAACGAUGUCCACCGGGUGCUGGGGGUAUCGACCCCUCCAGUGCCGCAGCUAACGUGAUGAGUGGACCGCCUGGGGAGUACGGCCGCAAGGUUAAA